This 460-nucleotide ribosomal RNA is filed under the name uncultured bacterium. RNAcentral describes it as "partial 16S ribosomal RNA". It matches the Rfam family "Bacterial small subunit ribosomal RNA", at positions 338 to 795 of the family's 1533-position model. The record is from RNAcentral.
CCUACGGGAGGCAGCAGUGAGGAAUAUUGGUCAAUGGGCGCGAGCCUGAUCCAGCCAUGCCGCGUGAAGGUCAGUGCCCUAUGGGCGUUAAACUUCUUUUGUGCGGGAGCAAUAAUGGUCACGUGUGGCCAGACGAGAGUACCGUACGAAUAAGGAUCGGCUAACUCCGUGCCAGCAGCCGCGGUAAUACGGGGGAUGCAAGCGUUAUCCGGAUUUAUUGGGUUUAAAGGGUGCGUAGGCUGUGAGGUAAGUCAGCGGUGAAAUGCCCCCGCUCAACGGGGUGAAGUGCCAUUGAUACUGCCUGGCUGGAAUGCGGAUGCCGUGGGAGGAAUGUGUGGUGUAGCGGUGAAAUGCAUAGAUAUCACACAGAACACCGAUUGCGAAGGCAUCUCACGAAUCCGCGAUUGACGCUGAUGCACGAAAGCGUGGGUAUCAAACAGGAUUAGAUACCCGGGUAGUC